AUUAGCAUUAUAUUUUGCCUCCUAAGCUUUUAUUUUCCUUGUACAUCAUCCUUUGCAUUCAGUGCUGCUCUUUCAUUUUCAACAGUUACAAAAAGAUUCUUUUUUUUCUGGGUCCCUGGGUGUUAAGGACAUUGCUCCUGCAGAUACCUUCUUAUGUUCUUUCAGUUCAGGGCAUAUAUAUAUUUACAGUUAUUAUUGCACCUUCUUAUAUACGGAUCAUCAAUCUUUAUUUUUAAUUAAAUUUUUUUUUUUUUGUUGUACCCCAAAGGUUGUAUAGUAACCUCUAAACUAGGUUAAGAGCUCAAAUAUUAUUUUUUGAUCUAGAGAAGUAACUUUCAACCUUCUUAUUCUAGAUAUGGAUUAUAUUAUUGCUGUGAUAAUUACUUUCCAAUUUAUGAUGAUCCAACGAUAUGUUUGUCUUGUAACCUUUAAUUAAUGUUGGUCAUAACACUUGAUCUAUAGGUCAGACUGAGCUGAGUUUUGCAGAGGGAAAUUUAGAUAAUACUAUAACCUUGAGUAUCAGAUUUGAGCAGGUUUGGAUAUAGUAAGGUGUUAAACACUGGAUGUCUUGCCCUGGAACUCACCUGGUCUGAGUUUAGUAAUGAAGAAGCUGUUUUAACCCUUUUGCUGUCGAGACCCCUGCUCACAAACUUGCUCUUGGUGUCAAAGAAUUUUCAGGAAAAAAAAAAAAACUAAAAUUUCUUAUGAAAUGAUAGAGAACCUUUUCAUGGUGGUAAGGAAACCAAAACUGCAAAAUUUAAGGGGAAACUUGUGGAAUUACACAUUAUCGAUUUUGCCCACUUUGAGCCCUAUUUUCGGCCAAUUCCAUUGUUCCAGUCGACCAAACUCAUGGCUAUUUCGCUAGAACUACUUUUGUUCUAUCGAUUGAGUAAAGAAGCCGCCUAUUUACCAAUUUCAACUACCCAAUAAAGUGAUCAGAAAUUGGUAAUUUGGCCAAUUUCAUAAACGAUUGAAGGAAGGCCAUUUUCAAAAUAGGGUCCAGAGUAAACUGUGUAAAUAUUCCUAGCACUAAAAUAACAUUUUCUCUGUUCAUUAGUCACAUCUCCAGGCCCCUCUAUUACACUUGCAUUCCUUUUUGAAUUUUUAUUCACACAAAAAAUAAAAGAUUUACUGCUUUGCAGUAAUGGUAUUGGACAUGUGACGUGAUUUGUUUGCUCAUGAACAUCAGCAAAAAUUGAACAUUUCCGCUACUUUGAGCUCAAUUUGAAGGUAAUUUUAGUCCCUAAACCAUUCUGUAAUUUAUCUUCCAUUCUGUCAAAUGAGACCAAAAAAAUGAGAAUACAACCAUAAAUACCAUAUGAAAAUGCACUGCAAAGUCGCUGUUGUAAAUGAAAAACACUGUCGGAUUUUUUUUUUCUCAUGCACUGCGUGCUGCAGGAUAUUUUUAAUACUGUGCACACAGACCAUUCAGACCCAUUCUCUCAUAUGUAGGCCUACCAGCUUUCUCCUGCAAGAUUAGAAGUCGCUAGAAUUUUGGCGUACUAUUACGGGACUGACACUGGAUUCCAAACCGUAAUGUUACAGGACUAACAGUGAAAGGGUUAAAAUGAAGUAUCUCUUGUUUGUGGUCAUCCUCUUUCGAGUGCUGUCAGUUUUGGGAAGAUACUCACUCGACUGAGAGCUGGACAAAUGAGAGACUUUUGGCCAUCUUGUAGAGAAAUACCUAGUGCCAUCAAAUAUUGAUUGAUUGAUUAUUGCCUACAAGUAUUGAUUGAUUGAUUUUUGUACUUAUCAAAGAAGAGGUUGACUCCAUUUUCACCCUGUACUUCAAAUCCUUGAUGACCUCAUCGUGGCUGUUUUCUUAAGUCUCACUUUCAGUGCAGACUGACUUAACUAAUUACACCAAUUUUUUUACUUGAUGUCAGCCCCCUUUUUCCUUCCAUGGGGCAUUGAAAGUCCUAUAUGGGUUUAGCUUUUUUUUUUUUUGGUGACUAAUAAUAAUACUCUUUUCAAUACAGUUUUGAAUGUGCUUGAUAAAAAUGUUGAAUUAGUUUUGUCCAAGUGUACAGUGGUUCCUGAAAUUGACCAAGUUUUUCUUUUUAUCUAAAUGUCAGUUAACCCAAUUUUUAUUUGGGUCCUUGUUUUAUUUUCAGUUUAGUCAAAUAGUGUUUUAUAUGCAAACUUUUGUUCUAUAUUAAAUAUGUUACUUUAGUUACAUAUUAAAUAUAGAACAAAAGUUAUAAAAGUGUGUGUUUUGUGUUCAUCACUUGCUAUGUUGUUUACUGCAGCUGUGUCUGUGUUUUGAGGUGACAAAAGUGAUAUCAACAAAAAAGCAGAUGGAUUUAAGAUGUUUGGUGACAUUGGUAUUCACUGAUAUAAAGUAGGAAUAGGAGUGGGCUCAGGAUUCAACUUUGAGGAACACCGAUAUUUAUAAGUAAAGUUGAAGAUGUUAUAAUGGUUACAUAUUGGUGUCUGUCAUUAAGUACUGCAAGGAAAGAAGCUCCAGUUACCAGCCUAGAACAACGACUGCAAGUUUUUCCUGGUGCUGCCUCACCCUUGUAAUAAAGCAGCUGGCAACAUAGUGCUUUAUCAUUCAUUUUUUUUUUGGGGUGACCUAAUUGCUCUUUAAUUUAUAUGGAACUUGCAUAAUUCUUUGAAAGAAUCAAUUUCUAAUGUAUAAAGUUGAACAAGAAGAGCCACUUGGUGUGUGUUAACACUCCCAUAAAAUUAAGACUGUAUUUGAAUGAGAAUGUUGGAGUUGUAAUUUUUUUUUUUUUUUUUUAUACCUGUAAAGAAACAGUCAUUUUUAUUUUUGGUUAUAAAAGAUUUAAAAUAUAACCACAAGUGUUUAAACAGAUUCCAUGAAACAUAUGAGCACUGUCACUAAAUCAAAAUAUCUUGUGUGUUAGCAUAGUUCAACUGGUUGGUUUGUAAUUUUGGUUGUGUUUUAUAUAUUUUUUUUCAUUUAUAUUUAAAGUACAGUGAUUUUUUAUAAUUUAACCCUUGGGUUUAGUACUUGCUUUGAUUAUAAUAUUUAAUAUUAAUGCACAAGCUGGAAUGAGGGGGAUUUUGAUGUGAUGCAUAUGUAGUUAGCAAGAGCAAAUGGUGCUCAUGCAUUAAUAGCACAUAAAGUUGUACAAAAAAAAAAAUCACCUUAAAAAGAACUUUACUCAGUUGAACAUUGAAUACACUUAAACUGACAUUGAUGAAGUGCUACUUGAUGGGGAAGCUCGCACAAGAGUAACAUGUUGGAAAUGAUACUACUAUUUUGUUUCAGUGAAUACCAGUGAAAACCAAAUUGUUAAUAUUACUAGCCUGAAAAUAUUUGUUUUGUAAAUUUACAUCUUAGAAUCAUAAGCACCGUUUCUUCAAUGACCAGGUAUAUGUAUGUCAGGUUUAAAAUUCAAACAGUGUAGGAUUAGAAUGCAUUAGCAUACAAUUUCCUAAACCUAUGUAAUUUUUUUUUUUUGUAUUGUAAGUUUAUUUCAAAUCUUCAUCUUUCAUAUUUUGAGUGAAUGUGGCAUUAGACAGUUACAGUUUGUAAUAAGAUGUUUAGCUUAAUUCAGAAUGCUCUGAGAGAAGUGAUCGCAUAUACUGUAACACCAUAUUUGAAGUGCUGCAUUUAGACUAUGCACAUCUUGUUACAAAUCAGUAAUUAAGACUUAAGUUGAUUUUGUUAAAGAACAUUUGCACAUUGAGGCAGAUUGAUGUCCUGUUUUUGAGGGCAUAGAAGACUUCCAGUAUGCACUUUUCAAAUUUAAUAUAUGCCUUUUAUUUAGUUAGCUUUUAUGAUAGGCAGUGGACAUAGCAAUUUAUUGUACUGUAUAAAUACCCCUUUAUACUUUUGUUUUGGUACUCGGUGACGUCAGGAGAACAUUGUGAAGAUGGAAAAUAUUUUGUAUUUUGCAAUCUGUAUCUUUUCAUUUAGCAGUUAAAAUGAAAAUUAAUUUUUAUUGCACAUCCUCAAACAUUGAAUUCACCCAAUGUGUCAUUACUGUACAUUGAAUUUGAUAUAUUUUUUUAUGCAGUGGCACAUGGCUGAACCAGACAUGUUGGAUCCAAAAACUUUCAAAUAUGUAAAUUUCAGUUGUCCUGAAAAAUUAGUGUACAUACAAGAUAUACUUUCUGAAAAAUAAAUUUAAAAUAAAAUAAUUGUUCUUACCACUCACUAAAGUAUGUGUUCUUCCAAAUUUUUAAGUACAGCUAUUAAUAGGUGUGUAAGAACAUUUAAGCAUCCAAGGUAAAAGGCUGGGUUUAGUGCUUUGUGGUGAAUAUCACUAAUAGAUUACAAGACAAUCUGGGAACUGCGUAAUUACAGCAUAAUGUACGUUAGUAAUUACUGAUCAGAAAAGUGUAGCAGAAGCUGUCACCUUGCUGUAUAGUUAAUCAAAUAAUUUAUAUUUUUUCUUCUAUUUUCAUAUAGGUGUAGAUUUAAGUAUCAUGAGGGGUACAAAUAUCGAACUGUAUAUUCAUUAUGUAAUUGCUCAUCCUAGCAAAAUAAUUCUAAUUAUUAGAUAUGCAGUGUAGUAGCAUCAGUGUUAUUUACCUCAGUCAUGGGGUAUCAUCCAAGAUUUUGGUUCAUUCCAUUUGCAUUUCUUAUCCUUGCCUGCUUUGUCUUGCUCACACUAUUCUUGGUAUAUUUAGAAGUAGCAUUUAUGCAGCUCAUUCAUGGCUACAUCUUUAUUUUUAAAUAUAACAGUGACUUGCUGCAUUGAUCAUCCUUAUAAUGCUAUGUUCCCACACCACUUGACUUUGCCUCACAACGUUUACACUUCAUUCUCUUUUUUUAUUAGUCAUCAGCAUUCAGACCAGGUGUAAAAUUAAGAAUCUUGAUAAUUAUGAAAUAUAUGAUGAACUAAUGCCUGUCUAUACUUCAAGUGCAGUGUUGCACCUUUGAACUUUCCUUGCUGAUACUCCCCACAAAGUGGUAUGUGAACCAAAAGCCUACAGAUUCAGAACUGGAGAAAGUCUUGAAAAACCCAACUAUUUGGAAGUUAGGGUGUCGGUUUAGUGGUGUUUCAUUGUAUUUCCUUUUACAACAGUAUUAUCCCCUGGUAAAUUCCAUUGGUUUCCAGUCCUAUACUAAAGGUAAAUGACUUGGAGUAAUUUUUUUAAGAAACAGUCUCCUGAAAGUCAUUGUGGUCAAUAAAGUUUGUAUAAUAA
This is a non-coding RNA of Cherax quadricarinatus, 5124 nucleotides long. NCBI's taxonomy places the organism in Eukaryota, Metazoa, Arthropoda, Malacostraca, Decapoda, Parastacidae. The record is from RefSeq and is a predicted model, not a curated record.